AUUGAACGCUGGCGGCAUGCUUUACACAUGCAAGUCGAACGGUAACAGGUUAAGCUGACGAGUGGCGAACGGGUGAGUAAUGCAUCGGAACGUGCCCGGUCGUGGGGGAUAACGCAGCGAAAGCUGCGCUAAUACCGCAUACGAUCUGAGGAUGAAAGCGGGGGAUCGCAAGACCUCGCGCGAUUGGAGCGGCCGAUAUCAGAUUAGGUAGUUGGUGGGGUAAAGGCUCACCAAGCCGACGAUCUGUAGCUGGUCUGAGAGGACGACCAGCCACACUGGGACUGAGACACGGCCCAGACUCCUACGGGAGGCAGCAGUGGGGAAUUUUGGACAAUGGGCGAAAGCCUGAUCCGGCCAUGCCGCGUGCAGGAUGAAGGCCUUCGGGUUGUAAACUGCUUUUGUACGGAACGAAAAGGUUUGGCCUAAUAAGCUGAGCUCAUGACGGUACCGUAAGAAUAAGCACCGGCUAACUACGUGCCAGCAGCCGCAGUAA
RNAcentral lists this ribosomal RNA (493 nucleotides) under uncultured bacterium. Its description in RNAcentral is "partial 16S ribosomal RNA". It matches the Rfam family "Bacterial small subunit ribosomal RNA", at positions 30 to 523 of the family's 1533-position model. The record is from RNAcentral.